RNAcentral lists this ribosomal RNA (336 nucleotides) under Klebsiella pneumoniae. Its description in RNAcentral is "bacterial SSU rRNA". It matches the Rfam family "Bacterial small subunit ribosomal RNA", at positions 1 to 331 of the family's 1533-position model. The record is from RNAcentral. Lineage: Bacteria; Pseudomonadati; Pseudomonadota; Gammaproteobacteria; Enterobacterales; Enterobacteriaceae.
ACUUAAAUUGAAGAGUUUGAUCAUGGCUCAGAUUGAACGCUGGCGGCAGGCCUAACACAUGCAAGUCGAGCGGUAGCACAGAGAGCUUGCUCUCGGGUGACGAGCGGCGGACGGGUGAGUAAUGUCUGGGAAACUGCCUGAUGGAGGGGGAUAACUACUGGAAACGGUAGCUAAUACCGCAUAACGUCGCAAGACCAAAGUGGGGGACCUUCGGGCCUCAUGCCAUCAGAUGUGCCCAGAUGGGAUUAGCUAGUAGGUGGGGUAACGGCUCACCUAGGCGACGAUCCCUAGCUGGUCUGAGAGGAUGACCAGCCACACUGGAACUGAGACACGGUC